AUUUACCAGACUUUCCUAGCGUAAUAUAUAAUGAAGAACCUAUUUUAUCAGAUUGCCCUAGAAUGUUACUGGCCCAUUAUCAUGACCUGUGCCUCUCAGGUAUGGAUGAGUCGUUUUAAAACCAACGACAUCAUAAGCAUAAACACAAGGUUAUUCAACCAAGAAUUCUUUCAGCCCAGUAUUUCGACCCAAGACAUUUGGUUAGUGGGAACAGGUUAAUGUCAGCGGACUGCCGUCGCACGUGACAACAAGAUAUGAGCUCAUUUGCCUUUCGGUCAGGUGAGAUAAUUAAACAGCUUCACUUCCCUUGGUGUUUUAUAGUACCUCAAAUGGGAUAGUUACCAUAUUGAUUUAGUUCUUACAAUACUAGCACAAACUGCUUAGAGCUGGUUCAAUCAUUCGACGAGACGAUUUCCAAUCGUACUGGUCUAUAUCUCCAGUUGUAUAACAUCAGUUUGUAGAGCGCUUGGGCUGCCCUGUAGAAGUGUCACGAACUUUGUCUCUGCACAUGACUCCGACCGGAAUCUUUCGAUUGACAAGGGAUACACUAUCGAUCCAUACAAUGGAGUGGAGAAGGUUGUGGAUACGCAUGCGCUGUGGGAUUUCCACGUGUGGAAUGAGGUGUGGAUGAAGAGGCCCGACCUUCCUGAGAAACCCGAUAAAUUGAGUGGCUGGCAGGUCCUCGACCCCACCCCACAGGAACCUUCGGGACAUAUAUACGUAUGUGGCCCCGCCCCUGUGACAGCCGUAAGGAAAGGCCUAUGUGACCUAUCGUACGACACGGCCUUCGUUUUUGCCGAGCUAAAUGCGGGUAGAACCAUCUGGCAGAGACGAGUCGGAGUAAACUGGGUCAAGAUAAAAGAAAACCC
Pecten maximus is the source of this 869-nucleotide long non-coding RNA. RefSeq lists it as uncharacterized. The transcript has 3 exons. Lineage: Eukaryota; Metazoa; Mollusca; Bivalvia; Pectinida; Pectinidae. The record is from RefSeq and is a predicted model, not a curated record.